RNAcentral lists this long non-coding RNA (218 nucleotides) under Gossypium barbadense (sea-island cotton). RNAcentral describes it as "long non-coding RNA (GBAR_LNC010192)". The record is from RNAcentral. Lineage: Eukaryota; Viridiplantae; Streptophyta; Magnoliopsida; Malvales; Malvaceae.
UGAAACUCUAAUUGUGGUCUAAAUGUAUACUUGAAACUUUAAUUUGGAUUUAAUCAUACACAUUUAAAGAAAUGAAUAUAUCAAUUUAUUUUUAUAUUGGAUAAAUAUAAUUAUUUAUGUAUGCAUUAUGCAAUAUCUAAACAUAAAAUGAUAUUAUAUCAAUAAUUAUACUAAUAAUUUACAAGAAUUAAAUUAAAUCAAAAUUGCAUGUAUAUAAU